GUCGAGCGCCCCGCAAGGGGAGCGGCAGACGGGUGAGUAACGCGUGGGAAUCUACCCUUUUCUACGGAAUAACGCAGGGAAACUUGUGCUAAUACCGUAUGAGCCCUUCGGGGGAAAGAUUUAUCGGGAAAGGAUGAGCCCGCGUUGGAUUAGCUAGUUGGUGGGGUAAAGGCCUACCAAGGCGACGAUCCAUAGCUGGUCUGAGAGGAUGAUCAGCCACAUUGGGACUGAGACACGGCCCAAACUCCUACGGGAGGCAGCAGUGGGGAAUAUUGGACAAUGGGCGCAAGCCUGAUCCAGCCAUGCCGCGUGAGUGAUGAAGGCCCUAGGGUUGUAAAGCUCUUUCACCGGUGAAGAUAAUGACGGUAACCGGAGAAGAAGCCCCGGCUAACUUCGUGCC
RNAcentral lists this ribosomal RNA (400 nucleotides) under bacterium M5A-315-16S. RNAcentral describes it as "bacterial SSU rRNA". It matches the Rfam family "Bacterial small subunit ribosomal RNA", at positions 61 to 509 of the family's 1533-position model. The record is from RNAcentral.